UUUCCAGACUCCUACGGGAGGCAGCAGUGAGGAAUAUUGGUCAAUGGGCGGGAGCCUGAACCAGCCAAGUCGCGUGAGGGAAGACGGUCCUAUGGAUUGUAAACCUCUUUAGGCGGGGAGCAAUGCCGGGCACGCGUGCCCGGAGGGAGAGUACCCGCAGAAUAAGCCCCGGCUAACUACGUGCCAGCAGCCGCGGUAAUACGUAGGGGGCAAGCGUUGUUCGGAAUGACUGGGCGUAAAGGGUGUGUAGGCGGUGUAGCAAGUUAGAAGUGAAAUACCUAGAGCUUAACUCAGGUGCUGCUUCUAAAACUGCUAUACUUGAGUGCAGUAGAGGAAAGUGGAAUUCCUAGUGUAGCGGUGGAAUGCGUAGAUAUUAGGAGGAACAUCAGUGGCGAAGGCGACUUUCUGGACUGUAACUGACGCUGAGGCACGAAAGUGUGGGGAGCAAACAGGAUUAGAUACCCCGGUACG
This 471-nucleotide ribosomal RNA is filed under the name uncultured bacterium. Its description in RNAcentral is "partial 16S ribosomal RNA". It matches the Rfam family "Bacterial small subunit ribosomal RNA", at positions 328 to 793 of the family's 1533-position model. The record is from RNAcentral.